Molecule: ribosomal RNA, 494 nt
Filed under: uncultured bacterium
Lineage: Bacteria
Description: partial 16S ribosomal RNA
Rfam family: Bacterial small subunit ribosomal RNA
Source: RNAcentral
GACGAACGCUGGCGGCGUGCUUAACACAUGCAAGUCGAACGGAAAGGCCUGCUUUCCCUUGUGGAUUGCGGGUACUCGAGUGGCGAACGGGUGAGUAACACGUGAGUGAUCUGCCCCCAACUUGGGUAUAGGCCUGGGAAACUGGGUCUAAUUCCCGAUAGGACUGCAGGGUGGUGCCUGUGGUGGAAAACGAUUUUCUAGUGGUUGGGGAUGAGCUCGCGGCCUAUCAGCUUGUUGGUGGGGUAAUGGCCUACCAAGGCGGCGACGGGUAGCCGGCCUGGGAGGGUGGACGGCCACAGUGGGACUGAGAUACGGCCCAGACUCCUACGGGAGGCAGCAGUGGGGAAUAUUGCACAAUGGGCGGAAGCCUGAUGCAGCGACGCCGCGUGGGGGAUGACGGCCUUCGGGUUGUAAACUCCUUUCGACCGCGAGGAAGCCACCUGGUUGGAAGGGUGGUGACGGUAGUGGUAGAAGAAGCACCGGCUAACUACGUG